Molecule: long non-coding RNA, 5590 nt
Organism: Rhopilema esculentum
Lineage: Eukaryota; Metazoa; Cnidaria; Scyphozoa; Rhizostomeae; Rhizostomatidae
Source: RefSeq, a predicted model, not a curated record
GGAUUUAAUCAUAAGCAUGUUUUACCAAAGUAAUGAUGUUAACGUUUUACCGGCUGCAAUUGACCGGCUGUUGAAACCGCAACACGGCCAACUACAUUCUACGUAGGAAUCCGGCAGAUAGUUCUGACAAGACAUUACAUGUUAUUCAUUGCAUGUGAUUACCAAAGGGGGACAAGAGAGCCCUCACCAUGGAGCAUCUUUCAUUUAAUUUAGAGCUUUGUUGAAUUUCAAAACAACAAUUACUCUCUUUAUUUGGUGUCACAAAGGUUAAAGUGUAAAACCGCAGGAUCGAAUUGGCAGUGAAAAACGUGGGAUAUGUGAAUGAGUGAUUCAGUUCUGAGGUUCGAGAUCUCCAUUGUGUUUCCCACAAGUAAUAAAUACAUAUUUUCGCAAAAAUUAUCGCUAUUUUGGUAACCUUGACAUGUUGUCCAGUCGGAAGGGACGUCAAAUACAGUAAUACGUCGGUGUUGAUGUGGAAGCACGCAUCUAACGAGGCAAGCGGUGGCAUCGACAAAUAACCUCUCUCUUCUUCAACACGGCUAAAGUUGAUUAUCAAGUAAAUUAAAGCAAUGGAUGCUUACAAACAGAGAAUUAUCCUAUCUUUGGUUUUAGUUAUUGGAGUAGAAUUGUGUUGGUCAAAUCCAUGGGAUGGAAUGGCUGUCUAUUGUAAUAGGGAAAGCUACAAAGUAAAAGUUAGCAAGCCAGGAUGUGUACAGGAGAGUUUUCAAACCGAGGCUUGCCUCGGAAUCUGCAGGUCGUACGUAAAACUGAUCAGUCACCAUCCUUAUGUGCAGAACUUAUGCCAGUGUUGCAAAGCUACACGUACUGUUAAGAAGCAAUUUUCCCUUAGUAGCUGUGACCAAGGCGUGGACCCCACGGUAUUCGUCGAUUCAGCAGAAGAAUGUGCUUGUCAUACAAUUAGUUGUUUAUAAUUUACCUUUAAUUAUUUCUUUUGCUUUUCUAAAUAAACGAGACAAGAAAGGGUGGGGAUCAAACACUAGGCACUACUGAUCAAAAAUUUGAUUUCAAACUUUCAAUCAAACAUUUUCGCAGUCUCUGUUCAUACUGUCUCUGGAAGAUGGGCAUCUCCUUUUGAAUUUUGCCUCAAGAAAAAAAGUGAGCGAAGGCUAACCUAUGCAUGCGUCAACUAUUUUCAAUCGACCCUUUCUACAGCAAGAUUCAAAUAAGGAAAAUUAAAGGGGAGGGACCUCAUGUUAGGCCUACCUUCGACAAAAAUGAAUCAUGUUUCAAAUUAGUGCAAGUUAGAAGAGAAAAAUUUGGGAAUGUGACAACUCUAGCCGUCGAGUCUGCACCCAGGCUAGACAACUCCAAUAAUUUGGCCGCAGGGCUUAUGGGGAUAGUUAUCACUACAGAUCUCUGAGUGGUCCUUCACUUGUGUCAACCCUUUCACUUUGACGAACCCAUGAAUCUCGAAUCAUUAAAAACAGUGACAAUAUUUUUUGUGACAUAGAUUUUGAUACCUUUUUAGAUAUGUAUUGUCAUUCUUUCGUUCAAAUUAUUAACAAAAUUCUUUUGAUGUAGUAUUUGAAAUAUCAAACAUGCUAUUUGUUCCUUGUUAGGGUAAAUUGAAACAGAUAUGUAUGAGCGUAAUGACAUCUCGUAGAUUAGGUGGGAUAUUUUGCUGAAAUUUGAAACUUGCUCAAAAGUGCCCGGGGUUUUUUCAUUAGCAAUACAGUUAACAACUAUUAAUCAUUUUUGUAUUAAUUCCUAUCACCUUUUUAAUCAUACUCAGGCAAUCCUUUCUCUAAUUUUUCGAAACCAAUCAAAAUUUAUUUCAUGAUAAGUAUUUAUUCUAUAAGUAUUAUGAAUUAAUUCUCAUAAGCCAAAAGUAUGGUAGUUUUAACAGCGCAAUCAGAAAUAAGCUACGCUCAUCAUACCUAGUAACAACGUUAAUAUUGGGAUAUUUAUGGUAUAAACAUCUUGAUGUCAAUGUCAAAUUUAUAAAGCCACGUCAUGAGAGACAGUGACUACAUGAACUCACUAUUCUCUUUAUAUGUUACAAAUCUCCGAUGUAGCCUAUUAUAAACCAAAGUAACAAACUUUUACAGAGUAUCAACUCUAAAGGCGUUCUGAAACUCGAGUCCUGAUUAAUCAAUUCAUAUAAGGUGUAAAAACCAAAUAUAAUAUGUAUUGCUUUAAGUAAGUGAUAUUGCUGAAGAUUUAUGAAUUUUAUUUGAAGCCUAUAAGUUGUUGUGUUUUAUUCCUUGUUUGCCUGAUUCUUGAUAAAAAAACUAUGCCUCUAGCAACGUUUGUGCGAAUAAACAAUUCGAUCAAUCAGGUUUUUGCUUGAAUGAUGAUUCUCAUAAAUAUUUCAGUCCAGUCAUUUCGCAAUGAAACCCCUAUAUCUUUAAUUAGCGUGUCGUCAUCAUACGAUGGUUUUACUGUGAGAAUGCGAAGUAUCGAAGCCUAGUUUUUUAGAAAAUACAAUAUUUCCCAGGUGAUGGCUUAUGCAGUAUAGGCAGAACUGUACACGCUUUAAAGUGCCGCUGAAAUGAAAAAAUCAAAAUUUGGUUUUUUCAUUUUGAGCCCAUAAAUAGGGAUUUCUGGGGGGUUUUUGCGGGCAGGUCGUGCGAAAUAAGGCUGGGGCGAGUGACGUAUUAAGAUUUACAUAGUCAGUUCAGCCAUAGUGAGGGCUGUAAGAAGAUAAAAAGUCACCAAUUGUAUAAAACGUGAUACCAGCAUAGAACUUUUACAGAGUAGGGUACUAGGGUUCCGAACUUCCAAGCAGUGAUUGUCAUAAUUUAGCCCUUAGAUCGCGAUACCAGCAUGGAACUUGGUAGUAAUAGGCAGUUUGAUACGCUGAAAAAGGUUGGAUCGGAAUAGACACCGAAAAAUAUCCCCUUGUGCUAUUUAUAGACUGGGGUACUAGGUUCCAGGCCUCUAAGUAGUUAUUGUCUUAAUUUAACUUUUUGAUCGCGAUACCACGACAAUGAUGCGACUACGAUAACUAGGGACGCCGAGAGGUUCUGCAGACCCCGGGGCGAAUCGCAAAGACAAGGCCAACACGGAAAGGCGAAAGAAUUUUAGAUUAGCAUAAAUUGAUUCUUUCUUGCAAACGUUUAAAAAGUUUUACUCUUUAGGGUAUAAUUUUGUUGCUUUUAAUCGAUUCCAUAUAAAAAUGGAUUUCAUUACAUUUGAGGCCCCCUGACCAUGAGGCCCUGAGGCAAUUUAUCCCCUCUUGACGGUCCUGGCGAUAACUGAUGCUUUGAGGGUGGCAACGCAAGUUGGAAAGUGGGGAAAGAGCCCUAAAAUGUGCAAUUUGUGUGGAUCUAUAAUAUAAAAACCUUUCCCUUGGUCAAUUUGCUCCAUAGAAUCAAAUUGUGCGCUAAUGACUUUUACUCAUAAUUUGUAUAGCUGUUCGCAAAAGCAUUCUUAUUCGACGCUCGAUAAUUCACUAAAGGCAAAUGAUCGGCGCGAGGUCUUGGCACAAACUGAACUCAAAAAGUUUGCUUAUUUCGUAUGGGCUCGAAAUUUUUGCAAGAAAAUACCUUGCAUAUGCCUUGUAGUUAGAUAGCUAGUGAUAUUUAGAGCACAAAUAUCGCACUAUUUCCACCCACUUCGUGAUUUUUUGGUUUUUAUCGCACUCGAAAUACAGUGUUCAGUACUGAAGCCCGCAUCACUUCCGCGAUUUGUAAAUCUUCCGCGCACAGAUUUUUGCACGAAAAGUCUUGAAAAUCGCGACUUUGAAUCGUUGUAGCUUCAAAACAGUUAACAGUUCCGAAAAAAGAACUUCACUAUCGGAUUCAGGAGCAAAGACUUGACAGGGAACUUUAAGUGUAUAGAACAUGACAGCUCUAAGUUGCUACUCCGAGUUUCCCCGCUAUCUAAACUAAUUUUUAUACUCUUACAUUUACUACCUUAACGGAUAUACCUUCACUUACAUUCACACCCCCUAUUUUAUUUGAGUUCAAUCUCUAUACCCAACUAUAAAUUCAAAUAACUGGCAAACCAUUGUGAAUACCAUAGACAUAGGAACAAGGGGGCGCAGAAGGCAGGUACCCCCACUUUUCCGAAACAUAGGUAAAAUAUUCACUUGAAGCUCACGGAAGUGCCCCUUUUUGACUACAUGUGACCCAUCCCCCAUAUUUUAAAUGCUCCUUACGUCUAUUGUGGAUACUUUUAGAAUGCAAGCCCAGUAUCUGAACACGGGGUAGUAUGGAAGAUGGCCAUGGUUCCUUACUUUUUUUAUAAAAUAGUAGAGAGCUUUUGCAAAAUCAUUUAUAAUGGUUCUCAAAUUUGACCUCCCCCCAACUUUCCAGCUACUGUCGGAGCCCCUGAUUUGCUGUUUUUUUCCUCAUUAUAAUAUAUUCUUUUCCAAUGAAUCCUACAUCCUAUAGUUGCUGCUAAAUCUGCUUUUGGACUAUUCAAGUCCCAAAUUUCAUUUUUUUUUUCCAAUUCUUUUUCUUCCCAACAAAUUCAAUAUGCAUAUUACUAUUAGCUUCCUCUAGCUAGAACACAUUAUUAAACAACACACAGCAAAAAAAAGGUAACAAGGAACAGUGUCUUGUUUUUCUGAUCAACAAAGAACAAUCACAUCGUCAUUUUCGUUUUGCAUUUAAUCUCUUCAAAAUGUGUAUAUGAAACACCCAGAAAUGGGGAGAAGGGGUUAGUUGAAAUCCUAAGUCAGAUCACAAGACAAGCUCAAAUACUCAAGCUAUGCUUAUGUCCUUAUCCCCAAACACAACAAGUGAUAAAAUCGCAGCAAUUCAUUAAAGAUUAAAUUGUAUAGGUUUUAAGACCAAUUGAAUGACAAAGUACAGGAUUUGGACGUAUGAUUCAAUUUCAUCCCGUGGGUCUCUGAUGAUAAUCUGCAACUACUUGCUUUGCCUUAUUCUUUCGGGGGAGGCUUUCAAAAACCCUUUCAAAAAUUGCCGUCGCAUCCCACUACGUCUGGUAAACAAAACAAAGAUUAAGAGUGGAGGUGGAUUUUCCAAUAAUUAUGCAUAUUGUUGGGCAGCAAAGUAACCAAAAUCAAACUGGAGCUGUUUACGAGAUUUGCAAGGGAAGGAAGAUACUACAAAGAUAGCAAAACGCUUGACGGGGAAAAGUCAAUAUGCUUUUGGUUCUGUUGAUUGCAGUCGUGACAGUUGUCAAUGGUUCAGAAAGUCAAUGGGACAGACUACAAAUGAAAAGGUUUUGUCGACCAUCAACGUAUAUUCUAACUGUUAACAAAGAGGGCUGCGAGCAAGAGGCUGUAACAGUUAACGCAUGUCUAGGUGUUUGUCCGUCAUAUGUCGAAGUUAUAUGGCAAGAGCCUUUUUUUAAAAAUAACUGCCAAUGCUGUAAAGCUACCGAUGUUGUCACAAGAAAAUUUAUACUGAAAAACUGCAAAAAAUCAGUUGAUCGAGAGGUAUUCGUGCAAAGUGUAAAGUCGUGUUCCUGCCAGGAGACACCUUGUAGUUAGGCAAUUGCCAACUACAUUGAAAAUACUGUUUAAAAUUUAAAUCGCUGAGGACAUUUAAUUAGCUUGAUUUUUCCUCUGAUAGCUUUGUAAAUUUUGAUUCUAUUGAAUUUAAUAAUAGGUUGCGCUUUAAUUAAUAUUGUUUUGAUGGUUAUGUUUUAAGAUUUA